This 164-nucleotide ribosomal RNA is filed under the name uncultured bacterium. RNAcentral's name for it is "partial 16S rRNA". It matches the Rfam family "Bacterial small subunit ribosomal RNA", at positions 355 to 511 of the family's 1533-position model. The record is from RNAcentral.
UAGGGAAUCUUCCACAAUGGGCGAAAGCUUGAUGGAGCAACGCCGCGUGUGUGAUGAAGGGUUUCGGCUCGUAAAACACUGUUGUAAGAGAAGAAUGACAUUGAGAGUAACUGUUCAAUGUGUGACGGUAUCUUACCAGAAAGGAACGGCUAAAUACGUGCCAG